UACGGGGGGGGCAAGCGUUGUUCGGAAUUACUGGGCGUAAAGGGCUCGUAGGUGGCCAACUAAGUCAGACGUGAAAUCCCUCGGCUUAACCGGGGAACUGCGUCUGAUACUGGAUGGCUAGAGUUUGGGAGAGGGAUGCGGAAUUCCAGGUGUAGCGGUGAAAUGCGUAGAUAUCGGGAGGAACACCAGUGGCGAAGGCGACUACCUGGCCUGUUCUUGACGCUGAGGCGCGAAAGCUAGGGGAGCAAACGGG
RNAcentral lists this ribosomal RNA (253 nucleotides) under uncultured bacterium. RNAcentral's name for it is "partial 16S ribosomal RNA". It matches the Rfam family "Bacterial small subunit ribosomal RNA", at positions 524 to 776 of the family's 1533-position model. The record is from RNAcentral.